This 67-nucleotide transfer RNA is filed under the name Ochlerotatus caspius. Its description in RNAcentral is "tRNA-Glu". The record is from RNAcentral. RNAcentral also lists the same sequence under 5 other names. Lineage: Eukaryota; Metazoa; Arthropoda; Insecta; Diptera; Culicidae.
AUUUAUAUAGUUUAAAUAAAAACAUUACAUUUUCACUGUAAAAAUAAAAAUUUAUUUUUUAUAAAUA